GGGGUGGUAAACUUUAUUUUUUUGCAUAUAUGUUGAUUUUUUUUCUCUUUUAAUGUAUAUAAUGGUCAUAGGAAAACUGUAUUGCAAGUUUACUACCCCCAACAGAAGUUUACUAGGGGUAGUAAACUUUAUUUUUCUGCAUCUAAGUUGAUUUUUCAUUGUUUUAAGGUGUAUAAUUGUCAUGGAGAAACUUUAUUUUGAGUUUACUACCUCCAGUAAAAGUUUACUAGGGGUAGUAAACUUUACUAGUGUGUAUUAUGGUCUUGAAAAUACUGUUUUGUAAGUUUAUUACCCCCAGUAAAAGUUUACUAGGGAUAGUAAUUUUUUUUUUUUAUACUUGGGUCAAGAUCACGUAAAUUCUGAUGGCAUUUAAAAAAAUCCAGUGAGAUUUCCAGAAAAUUCCGGCCACCGGAUGCCGGCAAUUUUCCGGCCAUAGGAAAAUUCCGGUCACUGGUGACCGGAAUCCAGCGGCCAGAGUUCGGAGUCCGGCGACCGGAAUGCGGCUGCCGGUGACUGGCGCCGGAGCCUGGUGUGCUUCCGGCAAAGUCUUCCCUCCAUCUUUUUCACUUUUUCUCUUUAAGUAAAAGCUAAGGGUAAAAAAGUCUUUUAAAAUGUAAUUUUAUUAUAUUUUAAUAAAGAUUUGUGUAUUUGGACUUAAAAUAAGUACCUUGUAUUCAAAUGGGCUAAGAGAAAAGAUUAUCAUUGAAAUGAGGUUUGACUUUUUCUAUUUUGUGCAAAUGGUCUUUUUCCCUUUUGUCAAAGACUUAGAUUUGUUGUUGUUUUUUAAACCCUAAACUCUAAACCUUAGACCCAAAACCCUAACCCCUAACCCUUAAACCUUAAACCCUAGUCCAAACUCAACAAAGAUCCAUGAAUAUCAUUUCACAAAAAAUAGAAAACCUUAAUUAGUUUAUAUUUUAGUUGUAAUAAAUCCACGUGUCAAUAUGUGACGGAUUCUAGACGGACUCGGAUUCUCUCCUAAGAAGUGUCUACUAAUAUUGUCUAAUAAGUCGAUCUGGACCGUCCAUUCUUAUCCAACGGACAAGAUCUCUCCAACCCUAACUUAACUCAUCUAUUCCAUUUAAUUGUAUCUCUAUCAAUUUCUCGUCUUCUCUCUCUUCCCCAAAACGUCAACAGACCCGUCGGGUCCUCUUCCCUUCUCCGGCGUCCUCCUCGGCCCACCUCCGUCGUCCACCGCGGAUAUGAAUCCUCCGCCUAUUUUAUCAAAACCAGCCCAUAAGACCCAUCUGCAAAACCCUUGUGGGAUGAAGAAGACUCUUGUGUUUUACGCCGGCGGAGCUCCAAAGGGUGAGAAGACCAACUAGGUCAUGCACGAAUGCAGACUCCAUGGCAACCUCUCUAAGUCUGCAGCAAAGGUGACCACAAACAUCCCCUUCAUUCUCUCUUACCUUGCUUUGCUUUAUGGAUUCUGUUACCUUUCAACAAAGAAAUCUAUGGCUACCUUUUUUCAAUCCUUACAUCUUCUUUCACAAUUUUUUUCUUCUUAUGUUGGCAGGCCGAGGAGAACGCUGGAGGAGGGCAAGAAGGACGAGAAAUAGGACGAGAGAGAAAGAGUGAGAUGAAAUAGAUGAGAAAAUAGGUUUUAAUUUUAAGUUAGAUUGGAAGGAUCUGGACCGUUGAUUAAGAAUGGAAGGCCAGGAUCUUCUUAUUAGGUAAUAUUAUGAGAUGUUUAUUAGGAGAGGAUCCUGAUCCAUUUUUUUAGACCAUCUCCUAUUAUAAGCUAAAAUGUCAAAUUUAGCAUAUAGUUACUCCCACCAUAAGUCAAAUUACAAUUCUCAAGGUAAAAAAUUUAGCUUUAGCUAUUUUGUAAGUCAAAUUUGGUUUAUUAAGUUGGUA
This 1857-nucleotide long non-coding RNA is filed under the name Fragaria vesca (wild strawberry). RNAcentral's name for it is "long non-coding RNA (FVES_LNC001041)". The record is from RNAcentral. Lineage: Eukaryota; Viridiplantae; Streptophyta; Magnoliopsida; Rosales; Rosaceae.